UUUCUCAGUGCUGCCUCAGCUUCGUUUGAUGCAGAAUGCAAAGACGGUUGAACCAUUUACAGCCCAUUAUGUUUUUGCUUUGGAUGUUGAACGAUUCUUGGGUUGUGCUUACUGGAUCAUUCGAGUCAUUGAGACUAGUUGGAAGAUAUCUAUAAUUGAUAGGAGCUGGGUACAUAUGGAUACUGAUGAUGCUUCUUGCAGAAAUCAUUCAGACCUUUAUAUUGGCUGAUUUCUAUUACUACAAUGUCAAGAGUGUCAUGGAAGGCCAACUUUUGGUGAGUCUGUCUUCACCCGUAUAGAAGAUCGAUACGUACAAUCUGGUCUAUCUUCUCAACAAUUACCAAAUACCAAUUUAGAUUUACAUAAGCUGUUUUUAGUUUCAGAAAGCAUAAUUGAAGCAUUUUCUUAAUUAAGUAGACAUUUAUUUCCCUUGGUUUAAAAGCAGUUAUGUAAUGUUGUAGAUUUUAUAGAUGGCUGAUGAGGAUUUU
Molecule: long non-coding RNA, 488 nt
Organism: Telopea speciosissima
Lineage: Eukaryota; Viridiplantae; Streptophyta; Magnoliopsida; Proteales; Proteaceae
Exons: 4
Source: RefSeq, a predicted model, not a curated record